RNAcentral lists this ribosomal RNA (497 nucleotides) under uncultured bacterium. RNAcentral's name for it is "partial 16S ribosomal RNA". It matches the Rfam family "Bacterial small subunit ribosomal RNA", at positions 28 to 507 of the family's 1533-position model. The record is from RNAcentral.
GAUGAACGCUGGCGGCGUGCCUAAUACAUGCAAGUCGAGCGAACGGACGAGAAGCUUGCUUCUCUGAUGUUAGCGGCGGACGGGUGGGUAACACGUGGAUAACCUACCUAUAAGACUGGGAUAACUUCGGGAAACCGGAGCUAAUACCGGAUAAUAUUUUGAACCGCAUGGUUCAAAAGUGAAAGACGGUCUUGCUGUCACUUAUAGCUGGAUCCGCGCUGCAUUAGCUAGUUGGUAAGGUAACGGCUUACCAAGGCAACGAUGCAUAGCCGACCUGAGAGGAUGAUCGGCCACACUGGAACUGAGACACGGUCCAGACUCCUACGGGAGGCAGCAGUAGGGAAUCUUGCGCAAUGGGCGAAAGCCUGACGGAGCAACGCCGCGUGAGUGAUGAAGGUCUUCGGAUCGUAAAGCUCUGUUAUUAGGGAAGAACAGAUGUGUAAGUAACUGUGCACAUCUUGACGGUACCUAAUCAGAAAGCCACGGCUAACUACGUG